AUUGAACGCUGGCGGCAGGCUUAACACAUGCAAGUCGAGCGGGGUGAUGGUGCUUGCACUAUCACUUAGCGGCGGACGGGUGAGUAAUGCUUAGGAAUCUGCCUAUUAGUGGGGGACAACAUCUCGAAAGGGAUGCUAAUACCGCAUACGUCCUACGGGAGAAAGCAGGGGAUCACUUGUGACCUUGCGCUAAUAGAUGAGCCUAAGUCGGAUUAGCUAGUUGGUGGGGUAAAGGCCUACCAAGGCGACGAUUUGUAGCGGGUCUGAGAGGAUGAUCCGCCACACCGGGACUGAGACACGGCCCAGACUCCUACGGGAGGCAGCAGUGGGGAAUAUUGGACAAUGGGGGGAACCCUGAUCCAGCCAUGCCGCGUGUGUGAAGAAGGCCUUAUGGUUGUAAAGCACUUUAAGCGAGGAGGAGGCUCUUUUGGUUAAUACCCAAGAUGAGUGGACGUUACUCGCAGAAUAAGCACCGGCUAACUCUGUGCCAGCCGCCGCAGUAA
RNAcentral lists this ribosomal RNA (503 nucleotides) under uncultured bacterium. RNAcentral's name for it is "partial 16S ribosomal RNA". It matches the Rfam family "Bacterial small subunit ribosomal RNA", at positions 30 to 523 of the family's 1533-position model. The record is from RNAcentral.